ACGACCAAAUCACGUUGAAAAUAUCGGUUCGUACGAUCACCGAAUUUAAGCAACGUCGAGCCUGGUCAGUACCUAGAUGGGUGACCGCUUGGGAAUACCAGA
Non-coding RNA from Acanthosepion pharaonis, 102 nucleotides. The record is from the annotation of a GenBank genome assembly. Lineage: Eukaryota; Metazoa; Mollusca; Cephalopoda; Sepiida; Sepiidae.